This 105-nucleotide small nuclear RNA is filed under the name Rhinolophus ferrumequinum (greater horseshoe bat). The record is from RNAcentral. Lineage: Eukaryota; Metazoa; Chordata; Mammalia; Chiroptera; Rhinolophidae.
GUGCUCGCUUUGGCAGCACAUGUACUAAAAUUGGAACGAUAACAGAGAUUAGAAUGACCCCUGUGCAGGGAUGACAUGCAAAUUCAUGAAGUGUUCCUUAUUUUG